RNA transcript from Vitis vinifera (wine grape), 2620 nucleotides. It is a transcript of the gene named (E,E)-geranyllinalool synthase, with no coding region annotated. Lineage: Eukaryota; Viridiplantae; Streptophyta; Magnoliopsida; Vitales; Vitaceae. The transcript has 12 exons. The record is from RefSeq and is a predicted model, not a curated record.
AGUAGCUAGAAAAAGAUACUUGUGUUUUUUUAUCUCUUAAUUUUCAAUGGAAUCAUCGCAUUCCAUAAUUGAAGCUCUAGUUAGGAAGAUCAAGGAUGAGAUGUUCUCAUCUGUUGAUCUCUACUCUUUUGUUUCCCCUUCUGCUUAUGACACUGCAUGGCUAGCCAUGGUUCCAGGUGGGAAUGAUGGACGGCCCAUGUUCGGGGAAUGCUUGAAUUGGGUUGUGAAUAACCAGAGAGAAGGUGGGUUCUGGGGAGAGUCGGAUGGAUAUGGCAAUCCCACCAUUGAUUGUCUUCCUGCAACUCUUGCCUGCAUGCUUGCACUCAAAACUUGGGGUGUUGGGAGUGGAAAUUUGGAGAGAGGGUUGGCCUUCAUUCAUGCCAACACAGUUACACAGAGAAGCUUCUCGCAGAAAAUCAUGGCCGCUGUCCUCGUUGGUUUGCCAUCGUUUUCCCUGCAAUGAUUGAACUUGCCCAAAAAACAGGUUUAGAGAUUGUCUUCUCAGAUGAGUUGGAAGAAGUUCUGACAAAUAUUUUCCACCACAGACAACGGAUUCUGGAAAGGGAAGAACUCGUUGAUAAGUACCAUUAUCCCCCAUUACUAUCAUACCUUGAAACCUUGCCUUUGUGGUAUGGUAUCGAUGAAGAAGACAUAGUGAAGCAUUUGAGUGAGGACGGCUCCAUGUUCCAAUCUCCCUCUGCCACAGUUUGUGCAUUCAUUACUACCCGAAACAGAAAGUGUAUGAAUUACCUGCAAGCUCUUGUUCAAAGAUUUCCUCAUGGAGUUCCAUCAAUGUAUCCCAUGGAUGAACAGCUUAUACAGCUUAGCAUGGUCGACCAUUUACAGAAGCUUGGGUUGGCCGAUCAUUUCCAUAAAGAGAUUGAAAAUAUUUUAGAACAUGUUUAUAGCCAUUACAUGAGCCAAGAGCAGCUGCCGCAGCAGAGUUUGGUGCCAGUUCAAAUAUACAGGGACGCUUUAGCUUUCCGACUUCUGCGGAUGCAUGGAUAUCAUGUUUCUCCAUGGAGCUUUUGUUGGUUUUUAAAUCAUGAAGACGUUCUAACACAUAUGGAAGAGGACUGUGAAUACUUCUCAAGUGUAAUGUAUAAUGUUUAUAGGGCCACUGACCUUACCUUUUCAGGGGAAUAUGAACUUCAGGAGGCCAGAUCAUUUGCAAGGAAGUUACUUGACAAAACAUUAUCACUGGGAAUCAGAGGUGAUAAUAAUGAGCUAGAUCUUCCUUGGAUGGCACGGUUGGAUCACCUGGAUCAUAGAAUGUGGAUUGAACGAUUACGUGAAAUCAACACUCAAUGGACUGGCAAGGCCUCAUUUUACAGGUUAUCUUGCUUUCAUAAUGAAGUUCUAAUGCAACUAGCAGUGAAGAAUUAUCUAUAAGAGUGAGCUGGAGGAGCUGAAAAGGUGGUGUGAGGACUGGGGCCUUAGUAACAUGGGAUUUGGUCGAGAGAAAACAACCUACUGUUACUUUGCGGUGGCUGUGGCUUGUAGUUUCCUGCCUCAUGACUCUGAAGUAAGAAUGAUAGUUGCAAAGAGUGGAAUACUGAUCAUAGUUGCAGAUGAUUUUUUCGAUACCAAAGGUUCACUGAACGAGUUGGAAAGCCUCACUGAAGCAGUUCGAAGAUGGAAUGGUAAGGACUUGAGCAGCCACAGCAAGACUAUCUUCGCUGCCCUGGACAACCUUGUGAGUGGUAUGGCAGCAAAGCACCUUCAUCAACAAGGAAACGACAUUACAGGAGAUCUUCAAGAUAUAUGGUAUGAAACAUUUGCCUCAUGGCUGCUGGAAACAAAGUGGAGUAAAAGUGGAUAUAUUCCAUCAAAGCAUGAAUACCUAGAUAAUGCCAUGAUCUCCGUUGCCACACAGACCAUGGUCCUUCCAGCUUCUUGUUUUCUGAACCCAGGCUCACCGGAAUGCAAACUGAAGCAUUUUCAGAAUGGAAGCAUUACAAAAUUGCUCAUGGUUGUAUCUCGUCUGUUGAACGAUACACAAAGCUACCAGAAGGAGCAAGAGGAAGGGAAAUUGAACUUUGUGUUACUCCACUUGAAAGAAAACCCAAAGGCAACCAUUGAAGAUUCAAUUUCUUUCACGAAAGCCAUAUUGGAUGAGAAGAGGAAGGAAUUACUGGAACAUGCUUUAAUGGAUGACUUAGAUGAUUUGCCUAAACCAUGCAAGCAGCUUCACCUAUCAUGUUUCAAAGUAUUUCAGAUGUGUUACAACUCUAGCAAUCGAUUCGACUCCAACACUGAAUUACUUCAUGACAUUAAUAGGGCCAUUUAUAUUCCUUUGAAAGUUCAAACGUCAAAGCCCUUGAAGCUUUUGCCAUAUCAUGCUAGACCAAAGAAGGAAAAUUCAAAGAUCAGCAGUACUUGCUUUGAUCAAACCUACAAACCUCGGGUAAAACCCAGUUUCAUCAUGCACCGGAUUCCUCCCAAAAUAAGAGACGGCUGUGGGAAAGUGCCCAUUUCCCUGAAUCACAAACUAUAUUUCGUUUGAGUCUUUUUAUAUAAAUCAACGUAUGCAGCUCUAAUGUCUUUAGCUGACACGGAUCCUAGCAAGACGUGUUGGCGCGUUGUAGUUUCAACCAAAAAACAGAGUAAACAGUCCACC